CCUACGGGAGGCAGCAGUGGGGAAUAUUGCACAAUGGGGGAAACCCUGAUGCAGCGACGCCGCGUGAGUGAAGAAGGAUUUCGGUAUGGAAAGCUCUUUUAGCAGGGAAGAAAAUGACGGUACCUGUUUAGGAAGCCCCGGCUAACUACGUGCCAGCAGCCGCGGUAAUACGUAGGGGGCCAGCGUUAUACGGAUUUACUGGGUGUAAAGGGAGCGUAGGCGGCAGCAAAAGUCUGGAGUGAAAUGCCGGGGCUUAAACCCGGCACUGCAUUGGAAACUGUGCAGCUGGAGUGCAGGGGAGGUAAGUGGAAUUCCUAGUGUAGCGGUGAAAUGCGUAGAUAUUAGGAGGAACACCAGUGGCGAAGGCGGCUUACUGGACUGUAACUGACGUUGAGGCUCGAAAGCGUGGGGAGCAAACAGGAUUAGAUACCCCUGUAGUC
RNAcentral lists this ribosomal RNA (440 nucleotides) under uncultured bacterium. Its description in RNAcentral is "partial 16S ribosomal RNA". It matches the Rfam family "Bacterial small subunit ribosomal RNA", at positions 338 to 795 of the family's 1533-position model. The record is from RNAcentral.